RNAcentral lists this ribosomal RNA (402 nucleotides) under uncultured bacterium. RNAcentral describes it as "bacterial SSU rRNA". It matches the Rfam family "Bacterial small subunit ribosomal RNA", at positions 355 to 748 of the family's 1533-position model. The record is from RNAcentral.
UGGGGAAUUUUGGACAAUGGGCGCAAGCCUGAUCCAGCCAUGCCGCGUGAGUGAAGAAGGCCUUCGGGUUGUAAAGCUCUUUCAGUUGGGAAGAAACGAUUGCAACUAAUAAUUGUAAUUAAUGACGGUACCGACAGAAGAAGCACCGGCUAACUACGUGCCAGCAGCCGCGGUAAUACGUAGGGUGCGAGCGUUAAUCGGAAUUACUGGGCGUAAAGGGUGCGCAGGCGGUUUUGUAAGUCAGAUGUGAAAUCCCCGGGCUUAACCUGGGAAUGGCGUUUGAAACUGCAAGGCUAGAGUGUAGCAGAGGGGAGUGGAAUUCCGGCGUGUAGCAGUGAAAUGCGUAGAUAUGCGGAGGAACACCGAUGGCGAAGGCAGCUCCCUGGGCUAACACUGACGCUC